AAGGCAAAAUGCGCAAAGGCUAGUAGGGCUGCCCCGCGAGGCAGCACCGGGAACAAAUGAACAAGAUGUUGAACAAGUUAAAAGAGUUUGAUUAACUGAGUACUGAAUGAUUACAUGGGCUAAUCGAAGUAUAAUUGUUCAAACGGCGCAAAGCACCACACUUGCAGGAAAAAAGAAAACAAAAGAAGAUACAUCAGGAAGCAGUAAAGACGGCUGGGGGCAGCGGCAACUAGUUGCUGGCGUCUCCGGCCGAGGGCUCGGCGGGC
This 266-nucleotide long non-coding RNA is filed under the name Brachypodium distachyon (stiff brome). RNAcentral's name for it is "long non-coding RNA (BDIS_LNC002224)". The record is from RNAcentral. Lineage: Eukaryota; Viridiplantae; Streptophyta; Magnoliopsida; Poales; Poaceae.